This 6289-nucleotide long non-coding RNA is filed under the name Gossypium barbadense (sea-island cotton). RNAcentral describes it as "long non-coding RNA (GBAR_LNC020723)". The record is from RNAcentral. Lineage: Eukaryota; Viridiplantae; Streptophyta; Magnoliopsida; Malvales; Malvaceae.
CAAAUAGAUCCUCAUAUAUUCUGCAUGCCCUUAUUUGCAUUUUUUCAUAUUUAUAACUCUCUUAAAUUCACGAACACUACAUGUUUAAUAGAUUUAAAAAAAUAGACACGUGUUUAAUGAACAAUUUCCACAAAAAUGUUUAAGUAGGUCGUGGGGGAAGUUCCAAUGAUUGAAUGCUUCCUUGCAACAUUUCUAAUACUCUAGUCAUUGAUGGUCGAUCUAAUGGAUUGGUUUGAAUGCACCAAAGGCUUACUGCAAUCAAUUUCCUUGUUAUUUCUGCUUCCUCUCCUGUUAUUUCUUCAUUAAUAUUCAAGUUUGUAGACUGAUCGAGAUGCUUAUAAAUCCAUGACGGAAAAUAUAUUUCACUAGUUUGGGACGCUUCAACAUUAACACUUUUUCUCCCUCCAACCAUUUCAAGCACCAUCAUUCCAUAACUAUAGACAUCGGAUUUAUGAGAAACUCCUCCUAGAUUUCGAAAAAACACUUCUGGAGCAAUAUAUCCCGCAGUUCCUCUAGCACCUGUCAUUGAUACAAUACUCUUCUUUCUUUCACAUAAUUUCGACAAGCCAAAAUCAGAGAUCUUGGGACAAAAAUUCUCAUCUAAAAGGAUAUUUUGAGGCUUUAUGUCAAAGUGCAAGAUCCUUGUGUUACAACCUUGAUGCAAGUACUCAAGUCCUCUAGCGAUGCCGAGUACAAUGUCAUACAAUGUUACCCAUUCCAAUUGACGACUUUGAUUAUCCGAUCCUUGUCCAUAAAUGAACUUGUCCAAUGAUCCUUUGGGCAUGAAUUCAUAGAUCAAAGCUCUCUUCGAUCUUUCAAAGCAAAAACCAAGUAAAGUCACUAUAUUAACAUGAGAAGUUCUGCUAAUGCUAGCUACUUCAUUCAUAAAAUCCUCUCUAUUUCCCUUCAUUUCACUUAAGAAUUUAACUGCCACAAGAUGACCAUCAGGUAGUUUUCCUUUAUAUACACUUCCAAAACCUCCUUGGCCUAAUUUAUCAUUGAAUUUGUUUGUCAUUUUCUUGAUUUCUUCGUAAGAGUAUCUCUUUGGAGCAAAAGGACCAAACUUUGUGAUGAAUUCCUCAAUCCUAGCAUCGUCGUUCUUCUUUCCUUGGCGGGGAUAAUUUGAUAAUAAUUUUCCUUUGAACCUUAAGACAGUGAAGCAUAUAGUAGAAAUCGAUACAACUCCAACAACAGAUCCUGUUUAUGAACUAUUAAUCAAUUUUUGCUAGCUCAAUAGAUAAGAUUCAAUUAAAGUGAAAACAUUGGUUAAAAUAAAAAGAAAGUAGUGAAUAAAAUCGAACAAGAAACUUAAAAACAAAGGGUAAAUUAUCAAAAUAGUUACUUUUGUUUAUCUCGGGUUACAUUUUAAUCACUUAUGUUUGAAAUAUUACAUUUUCGUUACUUACCUUAAUGUGUUGUAACAUGUUAGUCACUAAGCUGUUAAUUAUCGUUAACAAUGUAACAAUAAGUUGACUUGACAUGUUAAAUCAUCAUUUCGAACAAAAAUUGUAGAUUAAAUUGUACAAUUGGUCCCUAUAUUUUUUCGUUUAGAGCUAAAUUUUAACCUAAAAUUUUCAUUUGAAAUGAUGAUUUAACGUGCCACCUCAGCUUACCGUUACACUGUUGACUACAAUUAACACUCAGUGACUAAAAUGUUACAACACGAUAACGUAAGUGCCUAAAAUGUAAUUUUUCAAACAUAAGUGAUUAAAAUGUAACCUGAAACCAAAAAAAAAGAAGACUAUUUUAAUAGUUUACCCUAAAAAUUAUAAAAGUUAAAAAAAAAGGAUGAUUAUUAAUUUAAAAGAAAAGCAUUAAAAGAUAUAGAAAGAGUAUAUAUAUUUAUUUAAAAUCAACUUAAUUAAAAGCUAUUUCAACACUACAAUUAUAGUAGUUGUGAUGUAUUUAGUGUGUGCUUAGAAUAUAUGCAGUUAAUUCAAACCACAUUAUUACCCAACAAACAGUUUCAUAUCUAUGAUUAUUGGAGUCAGCUUCAACUUGGAUUUGGACCCACCUAUUCAAUUACAAUAUACCACACAAAGCAAUCAAUUAGUUACUGUACGAUUUCAAUUAUUUAAAUAAUUUCAACUCCUUUUUUUUUUCUUCUUGAGUUAAACAUUCACAUCAAAUUAAUAUUACUAUCUUAAAACAGAAAAUAAAUAACAUGUUGAAUUGUAUAAAUGGAAAGUACAUACAUACCUCUGGCAUUGCACUUCCGGCAGGCUUCCGCAUCUUCCUUCCAUUGCACCUCGAAUCCUGUUUCCAAUGCUUCUUCCAAAUCCAGGGAAUCAUUUCGAAGUCUUUCCCAGGAAGAUUGAAGAAUCGGGACUCUAACAUUAGCUGAACAUCCAUCUGGACGAAUGUUAUCUGUAGUUAUGGAAACAUUGUUGUAAUUUGAAGAAUCGCAAGGGAAGAUUCCAAGACUCGAUGAAGAUUGGCAGUCAUAAGACAUAGUAAGAUUGGUAUUUCCAGAACCGAGAACGAAUGGCUCAGAAUUCAGGAUCGAAUCUUGAAUUGGAAUUUGAGGAUGACAAGAGCCAUUCUUGAUGAAGUCCUCCCUCGCAAUCCUUAGAAUUUGAUUUUCAUGACGGAUGUCCAGCACCUCAUACUUUACACCAACAAUUUCAAUCUUAGUAGUAUUAGUAAAAACUUCACAGUGAAGCUCCAAACCAGGAUGUCCACAUUCUGGAUCUCGAUCACCUCCGGAGAAAGGAUAUCCAAUGGAGAUAUCCCCACAUUUAAACACUGCAUCGCGGCACUUCUCGUACAGUUGAUCGGGACUGGGUAGUGAAACAGGAAACCCAAGAAUAAGCAAAACAGAAGUAGAAGCAGAAAGAAAGAGAAUCAUUUUCUUUUCCAAAAAUUUUCAGAGCAGAGAUGGAAGAAAGGGUUGGCAAUUGAUUGCCAUUGCCACCGCGGACCGGUGACAUCAGCAGACACCAUUGCCUUGGGAUCGCCCGUUCUCUAUAUUGAAAUUGGCAUGCAUUUGUUACCUGGUGGAAGGGGUAGGGCAGAAAGUAAUAUCAUAAUCAGCUUCAACACAAUGGAACAUACUGGUUGCAUCAUCAUCAAAGGCGUAGCUAUAAGCUGUAGGACACGCAGUCUUGAAGAAUUGUGAGUAAGAAGUGGGCUGGCACGUAGCUGGAGAAUAAUAUUCUCCAGAGCAGCAAUACUGGGGUUCCCCAAGAGCAGAGCAAGCACUCUUACAUGCAACUGUCUCACUCCCAUUGACAACCUUAAGCUCCGAAGGACAGUCACCAUUCAAAUCCGCAACACAUCCAGUUGAGUUACAGUCACCUCCAGUUCCACCAUGUGGGGAUAUCAUCAAUGGUAGAUUGUAUCCACCAACAAGGCUAACAUCAUAGAAAUCUCCCAGAUCAUUGAAUCCAAACUCUGCAAGGGUGGCCUGGAUGGAACUACUACCAGAACACUCUGGUCUAGAUGUGCCGCAGUCGCCGGUGAGGCAAGAGAAAUUGCCAGAAGAGUCUUGAGUGCAAAGAGUUCGACCCCAUAUCCGACCUGUCCAAGAUCUUGGAAUAGAAAUAGAUGUUGAUUCGCCGGGAUUAAGACUGAAACCUGUAGUAGGAAAACUCUGUGAGCCUCCGGCCAAUGUUAUCAUCCCUGGCCAAACUGUAUAGCUGCAAUUAUUUACAAUAGUAAACAUCGAUAGACGAGCAUCUGUGCACAGGAAAAUGAAUUUAAAUCUACACAAAACAUAUAUACACACACACAAAAAGAGGUAUAUGAACAGGGACAAGACAAGCAAAGGAUCCAAGCCGAGUUUCAAACAGAAGAGUUUAUAAGUUAAACUGAGAGAGGCCUUGAAACAGAACAUACUUGUGUUAACCACCCAACCCAAGAGGAAGUUAUUAAACUGGCAGAUGCACGCAACACUAAUCUUCAUCUUAUUACCAUUACCCAAAAAGAAUAGUUCUAAAAUGGAAAGUACAUGCAUACAUACCUCUGGUAUUAUUCCUUUGUGAAACAGCAACCCCAAGCAUCAUGAAUGAUAAGGAAAGCAAAAGAAGAGCAAGAUCUGAUGAUGCUGAUGCUGGUGCUGAUGAUUUCAUUUUCAAUUUGUUUUUAGAAAAAAUUCAGAGAAGAGAUAGUAGGAUAACCAGUCAAAUGAUGAUAAAAAGAAACCAUUGAUUUUUAUCUCAGCUCAGCUCAAAUGAAUUACGAGGAAAUUGUCAAAACAAAAGGGUUUGACUAUAAAGUCGGCAGUCGGCCUUUAAGACGUAACUGUCCAAAGGAAAUUUCUCUUCUUUUAUCGACUAAACUUCCAAGGGAAAUUGUUGAAAUUGUCGCAUAGAUGGACAUGGCUCAUGUUAUUAGUUUCUGUUUCUGUUGGAUUUUGGAUAAAUUAUUUUGUAUUUUGGGCCGAUCCAGUUUGGCCUUAUUUUUUUUAUGUAUUAAUUAAAAAUAUCGUUUGUUAUUUAAAAUUUAAAGUAUAAAAAUAUAAAAAUUUUAAUAUAUUUCUUUAAUUAUAAAAUUAUUUAAUAAAAUUUAAUGGUGAAUUCAAAUUUAUUUUCAAAAUGUAUGAUUUUUAUAAUUUUAUAAUUAGUUUUAAAUAUAUAUAAAAAAAAUAUAAAAAUUUUAAUAGGAGAAUCAAAAACCGUAUAACUAAACAACCAAAGAUCUAAUUAAAACAUGAAUCAAAUGCCAUUAAGAGAUAGCUGCUCGCAGUUUUCUUUGUCCAUCUCAAAGAAAAAAAAUUAAAUUCAAUUUAGUCAUUCUCGAAUUGAGUUCAAAUUUAAAUAACUUAAACUAUCGAGUAGGUCACAUUUAAAAUUUCCAUAAUUCUACAAUAAACGCCUUCCCUUUCAACAAUUUGUAGAAUCCUCAAUCAAGAAUUCAAAUAUCGGAUCUCAUUGAAAGUCCCCUCUCCAACUGGACUUUCUCUUUUUGCAUUGUCCACUGCGGGUGAAAUAGCAUGACUGGCGGAGCUGCCAUCAUUCAAGACCAUAGAGCCUCUCAGUUUCUGUCCAUUUGAAGCUACAAAAUUGCCAAUAAAAUUCAGGCCAGACAUCUCACUCUUUGUUCUAUCCUUAUUAUACUAAAAAAAUCAUAAUAUUUCUUUUUGUAGGUUUUUUGGAGGUAACAAAAAAUGUCCGGGCAUACUGAAAUAGGAUAGAAGGCGUUUAUAAUUUAUUAACUUUUCAAGGCAUUAACCCCUCUUGAUUUGUACCAGAAAACUUAGUAGUAUAAUCAAACAUUCACUUAUUAUUAUUGAAAAUUUUCAAUUCGAGGUUAAGCACGAAUAAUUUACAUGACAAUCAAGCUCAUUUUCUUCUUUAGAUAAAAAAUCAUUAUCUUAAAUCAGAGUUGAGAGAUUGAACCAAAAUUUUAACUUGUAAAGAUUAAACUUUAAAUUUGGAGUCAAACUUGGUUGAAGUACACCCUACGAAUGCCACUAUUGAUGUCAUUUUAUACUGAAUAUAUAGUCAAAUCAUGGAUGGUAACAAUUUGUUUGAUUUUUCUUAUCAAAACCCAAAUUAUUUGAUUCUAAUACUAUCGUUAUUGUUGAGGAGGGACUUUAAGAGAAGUUUUCGAAAUGUCAUUUUCGGAGACAACGACAAUAGUUCAAGGGUUCGAAUCUCAUGAAGGGUGAGACACUCACGUCGUCUUUUGAUGGGUGGUCGUACGUCCACAUAUGGUUGGACUUUUGCCUUUGUGAACGGUAAAUGGCUCUCUGCAUAGCGGGAGACAAAACCCACUCCUGAGAGACAAAACUUUCCAUUAUUGAGAAACUUGGUUGGCAUUCCUAAAGACAACAUUUCGAAAACUUCUCCUAAUAUUUUCAAUCUCAUUUUCACCGAUAUUUUCGCCUUCAACAAAAUCAUACAUAUUUUCCACGUGAAUAAACACCAAGCCAUAAGCAUUUGUUAAUUUUCCAAUUUGGCAGGUAGUAUUAAAAAGUGUUGUAAAAAAGCCUAUCAAAUUUUAUGUUACCUUUCGAACGAUUGUUUGUUUAAUCAAUUAUUGAUUCUAUUAGAAAUCAUCAAAUAGAUCCUCAUAUCUUUUGUAUGCCUUUAUUUGCAUUUUCCCAUAUUUAUAACUCUCUUAAAUUCACGAACACUACAUGUUUAAUAAAUUAAAAAUAAUAAUAAACACAUGUUUAAUGAACAAUUUCCACAAAAAUGUUUAAGUAGGUCGUGGGGGAAGUUCCAAUGAUUGAAUGCUUCCUUGCAACAUUUCUAAUACUCUAGUCAUUGAUGGUCGAUCUAAUGGAUUGGUUUGAAUGCACCAAAGGCUCACUGCAAUCAAUUUCCUUGUUAUUUCUGCUUCC